This 450-nucleotide ribosomal RNA is filed under the name uncultured Acholeplasma sp. Its description in RNAcentral is "bacterial SSU rRNA". It matches the Rfam family "Bacterial small subunit ribosomal RNA", at positions 929 to 1382 of the family's 1533-position model. Lineage: Bacteria; Bacillati; Mycoplasmatota; Mollicutes; Acholeplasmatales; Acholeplasmataceae. The record is from RNAcentral.
GCGGUGGAGCAUGUGGUUUAAUUCGUAUGAUACGCGAGGAACCUUACCUGGGCUCAAAUGUAUGUUGACGUAUUCUGAAAGGGAUACUUCUUCGGACAAUAUACAAGGUGCUGCAUGGUUGUCGUCAGCUCGUGCCGUGAGAUGUUGGGUUAAGUCCCGCAACGAGCGCAACCCCUAUUGCUAGUUACCAUCAUUAAGUUGGGGACUCUAGCGAGACUGCCAGUGAUAAACUGGAGGAAGGUGGGGAUGACGUCAAAUCAUCAUGCCCCUUAUGACCUGGGCUACAAACGUGAUACAAUGGCUGGAACAAAGGGAUGCGAAGCAGUGAUGUGGAGCGAAACCCAUAAAAACAGUCUCAGUUCGGAUUGAAGUCUGCAACUCGACUUCAUGAAGUCGGAAUCGCUAGUAAUCGCGGAUCAGAACGCCGCGGUGAAUACGUUCUCGGGGUUU